GAUGACAACCCCAUACAGUCGCCCAGCACCACUUCGUGUAAGGUGUGUUGCCACCUGCAGAAGUCAAAAGGCUUUGACAUUUGUGAGGAACAAUAAUAAAAUACAUGUCGGCACGUAUAAGAUCACCACUUUUUGUGCACUCACUGAUGGGGAGACAGUUUAUCUUUCGGUUAGAAAUGGUAGUAACCCAGAGUUCGAAGAGGGGCAGUCAUAUGUGGUAAAGAACUUCACCCUCUCACACAAAUACGGGCGGCCAUGCUUGUUUGUCAAUCAAACAACAAUAAAAUUUAAAACUACUCCACUGGCCAUAACAGAGGAGGCCAAGAAAGCAGCAAAGGAGGCCCUCUGUCCACCUUCCCCACUAAAGACUGGUGAAGAAGGUGACAUUUUUAACAACAGGAGCUACCUGAGUCUCCAGGGGCAAAUAGAAAAAGUUGAAGUCGCCAGGAUGACCAGAGGACAGGUGCCCAUCCUGGAUCUGCGGAUUAAAUGUGGUUCCACAGUACACGAUUUUUCACUGUGGAGAGAAGAGGCACUAAGUGAGCUGUAUGUUGGGGACAUGGUAGAGCUCACUCACCUAAAGGCAACAAUAACACCAGAUGGAAAGGGCAAAUUUGCCUCUUCCAACUACACAACUGUGAAGAUUACUGACCGGCAGAUCCAGGAGGAAGAACUUGAGAUAAUUGGGGUGUCAGAAAAAAAUGACAAGCUCAUCCUUCUCGACAGUAGGCUGGACGACUAUGCUGUCCCAGCCCAUUUUUAUGCAGGCGACCCUGAUGACCUAGUAAACCAACUACCAAUAAAAAUGAAAGUCAGGCACAUACAAAGACAUGUUCUUAACAUAGAAUGCAUGGAUUCACCUAAAAGUGAGGGAUCGCUGAAUCUACUGCAGAAUGGGGCAUCCCUAGAUCCUGGCCAGAGUGGGGAAUCACUUGAUCCAAUUCAAGCUGCAGCAUCCCUAGAUCCUGGCCAGAGUGGGGAAUCACCUGAUGGAGACAUGGCAUCCCUGGACCCAGCUGAGAGCAUGGAAUCACUUGAUCCAUUCGACUGUUGAUCCAACUGAAUGUUGAAGACAUUGGUUAAAGUGAUAGUUCACCCAAAAAUGAAAAUUUGAUGUUUAUCUGCUUUCACCAAAGGUAUCCAAGACGUAGGUGACUUCGUUUCUUCAGCAGAACACAAACUGAGAUGUUUAACUACUGAAGAAACAAAGUGACCUACAUCUUGGAUUUCCUGGGGGUAAGCAUCAAAUUUUCAUUUUUGGGUGAACUAUCCCUUUAAGGUUUUUUUUUACUCUUUUCUUUUCUUUCUUUUUUUUUUUUUACUUUUCUGUAAUUUAAUCUAAAUAAUUUAAAUUCACUAAAUAAUUAAAUUUAAUCUGUAAGUAAUGUUCAACCUAAUAUUGUGUAAUGUUCAAUCAUUUUGUUUAUAGUUUUUAAAUGUUUAAUUUCUUAUUUGUUCUUCUUAGUAACACUUUAAUAAUUUGAAUGAUUGCAGAUGAUUUAUUUGUGUAAUUCCUAGUUCUAAAUGAUAAAUUCCUAAUUGCAUUGCACAAUAACGGAGUCUGAUCAUUUCAUACCUCCCAACCACUCAUACAUUUAUAGAUAAACCCUUAAUGCUGUAGAAACUUAAAGUAUUAUGAGUUAAAGUAUUAAAGCUAACAGACAAAAAUAACAAUGAAUGCUGUGGUCGAUGUGAUUUACCUUGGAAACCAGAUGUCCAGGCUGGGAAUAACAUCACAUCCAAGUGGGCCGCGUUCCACUAGAGAAAUCAGAAAAAUGGCAAUACGUUGUAAUUGAUACAAACUAUUUGAAGCUUUAAAACUUUAAAAAGGUGUAAUCUAUUUUGAUCAGUUCUGUAGUGUUUAUAUCCGAACUACUUUGGUUUUAUUUCAGUACUUCUGUGUUUAUUUGAAUGUCUGUAACAGAAAUAACAAUACAAUUCUUCAAAUACUUCGUAAAGAUGUUUCAUGUACGUAAACUGCUCUCUCUGGUCAGCAGCAGCAGAACUGAAUGUUACAGUGUGAUCAGGGCUUUAAUAGACAUAUGAAUCCUGUC
Long non-coding RNA from Cyprinus carpio (common carp), 2054 nucleotides. The record is from Ensembl. Lineage: Eukaryota; Metazoa; Chordata; Actinopteri; Cypriniformes; Cyprinidae.